Molecule: ribosomal RNA, 198 nt
Filed under: uncultured bacterium
Lineage: Bacteria
Description: partial 16S ribosomal RNA
Rfam family: Bacterial small subunit ribosomal RNA
Source: RNAcentral
CUCCUACGGGAGGCAGCAGUGGGGAAUCUUGCGCAAUGGGCGAAAGCCUGACGCAGCAACGCCGCGUGGGGGAAGAAGGCCUUCGGGUUGUAAACCCCUUUCAGUUGGGACGAAGCUUCCAGUGUUAAUAGCGCUGUGGAGUGACGGUACCUUCAGAAGAAGCCCCGGCUAACUACGUGCCAGCAGCCGCGGUAAUAC